UACGUAGGGGGCUAGCGUUGUCCGGAUUUAUUGGGCGUAAAGAGCGUGUAGGCGGCCGGGUAAGUCCGGUGUGAAAACUCGAGGCUUAACCUCGAGAUGUCGAUGGAAACCGUCGGGCUAGAGUCCGGAAGAGGAGUGUGGAAUUCCUGGUGUAGCGGUGAAAUGCGCAGAUAUCAGGAAGAACACCUAUGGCGAAGGCAGCACUCUGGGACGGUACUGACGCUGAGACGCGAAAGCGUGGGGAGCGAACAGG
RNAcentral lists this ribosomal RNA (253 nucleotides) under uncultured bacterium. Its description in RNAcentral is "partial 16S ribosomal RNA". It matches the Rfam family "Bacterial small subunit ribosomal RNA", at positions 524 to 776 of the family's 1533-position model. The record is from RNAcentral.